Molecule: ribosomal RNA, 465 nt
Filed under: uncultured bacterium
Lineage: Bacteria
Description: bacterial SSU rRNA
Rfam family: Bacterial small subunit ribosomal RNA
Source: RNAcentral
UAACACAUGCAAGUCGAGCGAAGGAUCUGGAGUAGCUUGCUACGAGGAACUAGCGGCGGACGGGUGAGUAACGCGUGAGCAAUCUGCCUGGUACAGGGGGAUAACAGUCGGAAACGGCUGCUAAUACCGCAUAAGACCACGGCGCCACAUGGUGCAGAGGUCAAAGGAGGAAUCCGGUAUCAGAUGAGCUCGCGUCCCAUUAGCUAGUUGGUGGAGUAACGGUUCACCAAGGCAACGAUGGGUAGCCGACCUGAGAGGGUGAUCGGCCACACUGGGGACUGAGACACGGCCCAGACUCCUACGGGAGGCAGCAGUGGGGAAUAUUGCGCAAUGGGGGGAACCCUUGACGCAGCAACGCCGCGUGAGUGAAGAAGGCCUUCGGGGUCGUAAAACUCUGUCAUUGGGGAAGAAACAAAUGACGGUACCCGAUGAGGAAGCCCCGGCUAACUACGUGCCAGCAGCUGC